UUUCCGUAGGUGAACCUGCGGAAGGAUCAUUAAUGAGUUGUCAUGGGGUUCGAUGCUGGCAGCCAGUUUUUGGAUGCAUGUGCUUGCCCUAACAAUCAUCUUCUUCCAAACACCUGUGCACAUUUUUGAGGGAGUCUUGAGUUGGUUGCCGCUCUUGGGUGAUUUUCUCACAUUCCCUUAAAUUAUUAUACGCUAUUAACAAUGUUGAACGUGCUCUGUGCCGCAAGGCCAUUAAUAUAAUACAACUUUUAACAACGGAUCUCUUGGCUCUC
Molecule: unclassified non-coding RNA, 272 nt
Filed under: plant metagenome
Description: partial contains small subunit ribosomal RNA, internal transcribed spacer 1, and 5.8S ribosomal RNA
Source: RNAcentral